CUGCAGGAGCCGGCUCUGGGUGCAUCCAGAAGAGCUCUGGGUGUUCCCAGCAGCACUUUUUGUGUUCCUGACUCCCCAAUUUCCCUUCAGGAAAGGCUCUGGGUGUUCCCAGCAGCCCUUUUUGGGGUGCUGAUCCCCAAUUUCCCUGCAGGAAAGGCUCUGGGUACACACAGAGGGGCUCUGGGUGUUCCCACCAGCCCUUUUUGGUUCCUGACUCCUCGAUUUCCGUUCAGGAAAGGCUCUGGGUGUUCCUGACUCCCCAGUUUCCCUGCAGGAAAGGCUCUGGGUGUUCCUGACUCCCCAGUUUCCCUUCAGGAAAGGCUCUGGGUGUCCCCACCAGCCCUGUUUUGGUUCCUGACUCCCCGAUUUCCCUGCAGGAGCCCCGGCAGUGCCCGGCAGGGGCGGCUGCCCGGCCCCACGGCUCGGGGACAGCCCCAGGGGCUGGGGCAGCUGCAGCGCUGGGAGAAGCUGGAGCAGAGGCAGCAGAAAAAGCUGGAGCAGCAGGAGCAGGAGCAUCUGGAGAUGGAGCAUCAGGAGAAGAGGCAGCAGAAAAAGCUGCAGCGUCAGGAACAGAAUCAACUGGAGCAGAGGAAGCAGAAAAAACUGAAACAUCUGGAGAUGGAGCAUCUGGAGCAGAGGAAGCUGAAUCAGGUGGAAGAGAGGCAGCAGAAUCAUCUGGAGAUUCGGCACCAGGAGCAGAGGAGGCAGAAAAAGCCGGAUAAGAGACAGCAGAAGAAGCAGAAUAAUCUGGAACAGAAUUGUCUGGAGCAGAAUCACCUGGAGACAGAGCAGAGGAAGCAGAAAAAGCCGGAUAAGAGACAGCAGAAGAAGCAGAAUUGUGUGGAACAGAAUUGUCUGGAGCAGAAUGCCCCGGAGCAGAGGCAGCAGAAUUUCCUGGAGCAGAAUGAUCUGGAGACAGAGCAGAGGAAGCAGAAAAAG
RNAcentral lists this long non-coding RNA (939 nucleotides) under Chloebia gouldiae (Gouldian finch). Its description in RNAcentral is "Erythrura gouldiae (Gouldian finch) lncRNA (ENSEGOG00005010653.1)". The record is from RNAcentral. Lineage: Eukaryota; Metazoa; Chordata; Aves; Passeriformes; Passeridae.